AUUGCCACUUUAUUUUGCUUUCUCUUUCCUUAAAUUCAGAUUUUGGCCCAUGAUUCAAGGACCAGCUGGAGUCCUAACAGAGGCAGGACAGCUUGAGAUGGAUGAGAAACACAGGGAUCACAAUCACUGACCAAAGUUUGCUUAACUUCAAAAUGCAGGGCUAAAAUGUUACACUCAAAACAUACUCACUCUAUUGCUGUUAAAAAUCUUUUGGGGCCCUCCACUUGAGGGUGUAACACAAAGCUGAACAACUCUAGAAGGUGAAACAGCUUUACUCCAAGAUGUAUAAGAUGGUGACCAAAAACUGUACAAGUCUUCAAUCUAGGAAUUAAUAUUGGCUGCCCUGGAAUUGGAUUAAAAAAGCUCACUGCUAACCCAAAGGAUUAAUAACAGCUCUAAAAACUAAUACAUUAGGAAACACCAGUUUUCCAAUGCAGUAAAAUAUUUCAUUGCAGGCAGUUCCUGAAGGGUCAGAUUUAGAAGCCUGGUAACCAAAGUGCUGGUUUCCUCCAUUUUAAUUCCAACUUUGCAGCUGCUGAGGGAACAGGAAGAGUUUGAAACCCUGGCCUUCAGACACCAGGAGUCAGCCACCUGCAGGACCAGGGAAGGUUGGGUUCCCAGAGAUGGCUCAGGGUCUUAUCAUUUGACUCAGUUACAAAAACACAUGAGAAAUUAUGAGAAAGCUUAUAAGUGGAUGCCAGGGUGUCCCAUGCUUAACUGGAUUGUAUCAGCAAGGUGGGACAACAUACUCUCUGGGGUUUCACUGUUGCAGGGUGUGAUUAUUCUAAUCUGUCUGUAGUGAAACAAAACCAAAUAUUUCCCAGUCUUUGCUGCCUGAGGAAACAUAAAAGAGUAGUAGCCAACAAUACUCAGUAUUAGUUCUGUGAUUGUACUGAGGAAAAGGCUAGAUGAGCUGCUGGAGUCAGUCUCACAUACAGCUUGCUCCUGCCAAAAAGGACAGUGCUGCUCUCUUCUGCCCUCUCUGAGGCAUAGGCAUCUGAUCCUGCCCCUCUACUUAUCCCCGGGCCUGACCUGACAUGUUCCUGAGGCACUUUCAGAUUGAUAAAGUGGCAAAAAAAAUAUUCACUUUGCUCUUUGUUACUUUCUGUCCACCCAUUGAGCUGAAUCAGCUCCCCACAGGGUCAGAUGAGCACAAGACCUGGAGAGGAUGAGGCUGCAGGGAUGCAAACCUGGUGAGAGGGCCACACUAAUCUUUUCAGCAGCUGCAAAUUAUUGGAUUGGGUCAGCAUAUCUGUUAGACUCACACCUCUGGGACCAUCAGUUCUGCUGUUGCCAAUGUGAUUAAAACCACAAGCAAGAACAAACAUAAACAAUGGGCAAUCAAAGAGAAACCAAAGCAGAAGUGUGCAUACAUACUUCUGUGAAAGAUGGAGAGGAGAAACUGGGAUAUGGGAAGUCCAUGGUGAGAAGCAGCAAUAUUUGAUGAUUUGAUGAACUAUGACUUGUCUAUCAACCAGUAGAAAUAGAGGACCAAAUAAAUUCUUCCAGGCAUUAUGUUUUGGGCCAAUAUUCAGAAUAUUCAGAAAUAUUCAGAAUAUUCAGAAAUAUUCAGAAAGAAAGCUGAGCUGGAUAGAAAACAUCCAAAUACAAAAUACAAAAUACAACACAAGCAUAGGAAGCAUAAACAAUGUGUAAACUGGUCUGUGCCUGCAGAGUACCUGCAGGUAAUAAGUAAUGACAGUUAUUAACAACAACAAAAACAAUAAUAAUAAUAAUUUGAAGAGUCUGCUAGCAGAAUUUCUCACCCACUAUUCUUUAAAUAGUGGUGUUAACACUUUUCUUCUUGUCAUAUGCACCAUAAUGGUAUGUGUUCAUGUGACUGUCUAUUCUGAUUCUUGUAUUCAUAAGCUCCAUUUUUUAAAAAGUCAAAUGCUACUUUGAAAAUUAUCUGUACCAGCUCUAAUGAGUGUUUCAAUGAUUCAAAUAUUUAAGUCCUUCCUUCAAGGCCGGAUUCCUGAAGAUGGUCUUCAGUGGGACUCUCAUUUUAAAAGAUCUGGAGACCCUGAGAUGUAUUUCAGCGUUGAAAUGAAUGGUAGACAAGCAUUCAAAUGGGAUUUUUUGGGGAUCUGGCUGUAGUGCCUAGGAAAUUGAUUUCAUCCAAAAAUUAUGCUGUUUAAACCAUGCCAUAAGAAGUGCUGUUGCACAGGCAUAGGCUUUUCCUAUAGAAGAAGACAAGUAAGAUAUAACAUCCCAAAGCACUUUUACCCAAAUGCGCGGGUAUCAGUUGUGGCUGCACAAGGGAGGGACACUUUAUUUUCUGCCCCUCAGACACCUGUGUAUCUUCAGGCACGGUGUGCAGUGUACAGUGUAAGGUGUACGGGAUGGGCUCUGCGGUGUGGGGUGUGCGGUGUGGGCGUGCGAAGGGGACUGUCGCCACCUCCCGGGCAUGAGCGCUGCAGCUGAGGACAGGAGGCCCCGUACUGGCAUGUGCUCCUCACUUCUGAUCCAGAGGGGGCUGAUACCGGGAGAGGGAUGAAGAGUACAGCUUUGUGGGUUUCAUUUCAUCUUCAAAGGGUGAAAUUUUCUGGGAGAGGCUCUCACAGCUGCUGUGGGCACAGACUGAGAAAACACCAUCGUAUCUUGGAUAUAGAGACUCAACUCCAUGGUCUUAAAUAUCUGAGCUGCCCUAACAGGGAACAAGCCAUGGAGAAAGUCACUGAGGACUGUGGGCUGCUGGCUCUGUGUUCAGACUGGCACCUUCAAGACUGCUGGCCAGAGUCAUUGAGGGAGCCAGUGAGCCCUGAGCUGCUGCUGUGAGAAAGGCUAAGGUCCAGCACCAGGCAGAGAGGCAGCCUCGAGGCAGGGAACUUAGCAAUGCAUCCUGGAAAGACAUGGAAUGAGGUGAGGAGAUGCAACUCGAAGCCUAUGCACAGCUGCAGAGCUGUAGGAAUCUAAUUAACUCAGCUCCCUCCUCCUGCUUAAUGAGGAGUGCCCCUGAGCCGGUUCACCGACCUCCGAGCUGUUUUUUCCAGAGCCCUUGCAGAGCUUCACAGUGGCCAGAGCACCUCUCCUCUGCCAGAGGCUCUUGUGCCUUUCCUCAUAAUCCUUCCUCUGUGCGAGGAGUGGCAAAGAGUCUGGAAAAGCUUUCUUGGAGGGCUUCUGGGCACAGCUUGUGCUACCCAAAAUCCUUGGAAGAGGAAACACAUCAUGAUGCUGCAAAGACACCUUUGUCCCUCUCAGAUGCGUGACACAGUAGAGCCCUACAUGCUGCUUGCUGUCACACCUUUUAGUGAUAGGCACCUGUUAAAUGAAAAUCUGAGGGCAUUUUACCUUCCAUAGCAGGGGAAAUGACAUGCUAGAGAGUGACCACAGGAGCCCUUGGCUCCUCAUAUCUGCUGGAAAAAGCGCUUGGGAUGCUGUACUUCUCUUCACAGAGGAAAGACCCUGAUGGGGCUCCUUGAUGGCUAUCCCUGCUGUGGGGAUUUGCAUUGAAGAGCAGGAAGGAGCAGAGGGUUUGUUCGGCAUCACUGUACCCUGACAUCUGAGUCCCACUGAGGAGUGGCAGGUCCCUCCAGCCAUGCUGGUGGCACAGCUGAGUGGCUGUAGCACUAGCUUGAAGACCCAGGCCUCAGGAGCUCACCUGCUGAAAUAAGAGAUGGGAUUUAGCCUCCCUGUCCUUAGAGUACAUAUUUCUUUACAGAUGCAUAGAUUUCUGAGUCCUAUUGAAAUCCCUUAAAGUGAUAGCCAGAAAAGUAAUGCUUUGAAUAGGAAUGCAUGAGCCACAUGUUCUGCAUGAACCUGAGGAUCAUUUCACCUUCUGGCACCUGAGUUCCAUGGCAUAAAUAAGGAGGGUAAAGUUGUUAAUGCCAUAGGAGGCCUGCAAAAAUGAAGGAUCCUGUAUCAUUGCCUCCCCAGGAAAGCAAAAUCGUAUAUAACAGUGAUGUCAGUAUUUUCUGAAUGUCAGAGUUCGAGUUGUUUUUGCAGUGUCCUUCAGGCAGCCUUGAACAUUUUUGUGCACAUGCCAGUGAAUUGUACAUCUGUAGGUGCCUGUCACUGCAAUGCAGAACAAGACACAAUAUGAACUCAUUGUAAAACCUACCAUCCCAGUCCUUGGGCUCCCAGUACUUCAGUCUCUGUAAUUACAGAAUGACACAAUGAAACGUGGAAGAACAGAAACCUGCAAAUCAGACACGCAGAAGUCAAUUCAUUCAGUCAGUUCUGCUGAUGUGGGAAAACAUGAGAGGAAGGCUGAGCCUCCAAACACAGGCAUCAGCAGAACUCAGAGUAUAUGAAGAAUUGCCUUAGACCUAACCCCACUUAGCUCACAUUUCAUGCACUGGGACGCUUUCCAAAAUUAUCUCACCCACUUUCUCCAUCGCAAAGCCUACGCAUGUUUGCUUCCCAGUCUGAAGUGAGAAAGAUCCCAAGCCCUGAGUCUAAUGCCUAGGUAUGAACUCAGGCUGAGCUGGAAAAGAGCCUCCUCUCCAGAUGUCAGUAGCUGUAGUCAAUAACCAAACCCCUUGUGAUACCUGUAUCAGAGCUAAGUAUGUACUGCUAUAAAUAGUAAAUGAGGGAAAUGGAAAGAAAUAUGGGAAAAGCACUAUUUUAGUCAUUGAGGCAAGGGUUCUGUGAAAAUUUAGUUUAUGUUAUGAUCUGCAGGCAUAGGGAGAAGUAAAUGACCAUCCUUCACCCUGAAUAUUACCUGACUUUUAAGUGCUUACAGUUUUAAGUCUAUUAACACCGUGUUUAAUGUGGGAGCUGUAGAGUGGGGGAAGGGGGCAUGCAGCAGUGAAAGAUUGGUAAAAUAUUGAAGUGAGUUGAAGGAAAAGACUGUCAGAAAACUGUAGGGAGUUGUUAUGAUCUCAUUACACUGCAUUAAUGAAGCUAGUGUUGAAUAUGGUGUAUAAACCUGGUGGUUUAUGUUUUUUUUAAAAAAAUAAAAUUGGAAGAUUAGAAAAGAGCCAUGCAAAUUAUUUAAGAGCUGAUAAAUGCAACGUAAUUCCAUUUGUGUCAUGAUGUCAAGAAGAGGCUGAAGCCCACAUGUACAGGAGACAUGUCUGAUAGCAUAGUGAAAGCUUUUAAUAAAAAAAGGAAAAGGAGAUUGAACAAGUGAGGGUGGAAGGUGGAGAUUUAUGCAACAAGGGGAAUGUAAGCAUGUCUCCACAAUGGAAAUUAAACAUUGAAACAAACUUCAUGGAAAUGGGAUAGAUAUCCGGUCCCUCUGUGUCCUUUAAUGAAGCUGAGUAUUUUCCUAUGAGAUGUGCUGUACGUGUAGUUUAUGGUUAAAGUAACAGGUGAAAGUCUCCUGGUGUGCAGGUGUUAUGUAGGU
Pseudopipra pipra is the source of this 5290-nucleotide long non-coding RNA. RefSeq lists it as uncharacterized. The record is from RefSeq and is a predicted model, not a curated record. NCBI's taxonomy places the organism in Eukaryota, Metazoa, Chordata, Aves, Passeriformes, Pipridae. The transcript has 2 exons.